Molecule: ribosomal RNA, 839 nt
Filed under: Escherichia coli
Lineage: Bacteria; Pseudomonadati; Pseudomonadota; Gammaproteobacteria; Enterobacterales; Enterobacteriaceae
Description: partial 23S ribosomal RNA
Rfam family: Bacterial large subunit ribosomal RNA
Source: RNAcentral
CCGGUAAACGGCGGCCGUAACUAUAACGGUCCUAAGGUAGCGAAAUUCCUUGUCGGGUAAGUUCCGACCUGCACGAAUGGCGUAAUGAUGGCCAGGCUGUCUCCACCCGAGACUCAGUGAAAUUGAACUCGCUGUGAAGAUGCAGUGUACCCGCGGCAAGACGGAAAGACCCCGUGAACCUUUACUAUAGCUUGACACUGAACAUUGAGCCUUGAUGUGUAGGAUAGGUGGGAGGCUUUGAAGUGUGGACGCCAGUCUGCAUGGAGCCGACCUUGAAAUACCACCCUUUAAUGUUUGAUGUUCUAACGUUGGCCCCUGAUCGGGGUUGCGGACAGUGUCUGGUGGGUAGUUUGACUGGGGCGGUCUCCUCCUAAAGAGUAACGGAGGAGCACGAAGGUUGGCUAAUCCUGGUCGGACAUCAGGAGGUUAGUGCAAUGGCAUAAGCCAGCUUGACUGCGAGCGUGACGGCGCGAGCAGGUGCGAAAGCAGGUCAUAGUGAUCCGGUGGUUCUGAAUGGAAGGGCCAUCGCUCAACGGAUAAAAGGUACUCCGGGGAUAACAGGCUGAUACCGCCCAAGAGUUCAUAUCGACGGCGGUGUUUGGCACCUCGAUGUCGGCUCAUCACAUCCUGGGGCUGAAGUAGGUCCCAAGGGUAUGGCUGUUCGCCAUUUAAAGUGGUACGCGAGCUGGGUUUAGAACGUCGUGAGACAGUUCGGUCCCUAUCUGCCGUGGGCGCUGGAGAACUGAGGGGGGCUGCUCCUAGUACGAGAGGACCGGAGUGGACGCAUCACUGGUGUUCGGGUUGUCAUGCCAAUGGCACUGCCCGGUAGCUAAAUGCGG